RNAcentral lists this ribosomal RNA (405 nucleotides) under uncultured bacterium. RNAcentral's name for it is "bacterial SSU rRNA". It matches the Rfam family "Bacterial small subunit ribosomal RNA", at positions 355 to 776 of the family's 1533-position model. The record is from RNAcentral.
UAAGGAAUCUUCCACAAUGGACGAAAGUCUGAUGGAGCAAUGCCGCGUGCAGGAUGACGGCCUUCGGGUUGUAAACUGCUUUUAUAUGGGAAGAUUAUGACGGUACCAUAUGAAUAAGGACCGGCUAACUACGUGCCAGCAGCCGCGGUAAUACGUAGGGUCCAAGCGUUAUCCGGAAUCACUGGGCGUAAAGCGUGUGUAGGCGGUAUGUUAAGUGAUAUGCGAAAUCUCGUGGCUCAACCAUGUAGACUGUGUAUCAUACUGGCGUACUUGAGGAUGGCAGAGGCAAGUGGAAUUGAUAGUGUAGCAGUGAAAUGCGUAGAUAUUAUCAGGAACACCAAUGGCGAAGGCAGCUUGCUGGGCCAUAUCUGACGCUGAGACACGAAAGCGUGGGGAGCGAACAGG